CUGGUACUCUGUACUACUCUAGGGAUCGAGCGAGAAAAUGAGAUUCUGGCCAUGCAACCAUGCAUGCACGGCAAGAGGGGCCCGAUCCAACGUACGAUUGCGUGCCCAUCCGCUCAACACGUAGUCACGUACCGCUCUCAGAUGAACCGGACCGGAUAAGCGUGUGUGCAUCCAGCUAGAAGCGCGUGAGAACUGUCAGAGGCAUGAGGUAGGUGUCGAUUUGUUGGCUAAGUCGUUGGUCCCAACAAACCUAUGGGUAUUGUGUUAAUUAGAGCCGGUGAUCACGAUUCAAGUCAUAGGCUUACAAUGGAUGAUCAUAUUUACGUGAGCUUAUUUCAAUGUUUAUCCUACGUUGUUAUUUCAGUGAAAGUAACAUAUCGUUAACUACGAGACGACUGUGAUGACUUUGUCAAUCUCUGCUGGCCGAAAGUGCUCAUAAAAAAAUGACGUGCGUGUGUGCGUCUUCACAUGAGUGAAUGUAAGUGCAUAUUUGUGAGCGUUUGUACUAUGUUCCUAAAAAUAAUCAGGGCCGCCGAUCAAUGUUUCGUUCUUAGCCUUUUUUUUUUGAGGGAGUGUUUUGUUCUUCGCUAGUUUAAUUCGCUGCCCUAGUUUGAAAAACUAGCGGGAUGACCCGCGCAAAUUGCGGGCCUAGACUUGUAUAAUGAAAUAAUAUUUUUUAUGUUUUGUUUUCUAACAGAUUCAUUUUUUAUGAAAUUUAGAUGUCAUGUAUUUCGAAUGGUUCAAUGAUUUUUUGAAGAAAAAAAUUGUUAUAUUUGUACCAACCAAAAUAUAUGGUUUCAGACGCUUAGAUGGAUUUAAAUUCAUAACACAAUAUAUUGUAGAUUAUAUAUUCCAUACAUGUUUUCGCAAGAGAGUUUUAUUUUAUUAACAUUGUGUGCAAUACAAAAGUGUUGAGCUCCUAUAGAUAACAUAUGUGUUUUUUGUUGCAUUUCAAUUUGCGUGGCAUAUUUUGUUUAUUUUAGAAAAGUUUCAUUUUAGACGUCGGUUAUAGAAGUUUAGAUUUUUUUUAUCCUUAAUUAUUAUUAUUUUUGCAUGGAUGAUGCGGUAAGUAUUGGUUUCUAUCCGGCAAAAUUUGUAUCCAGAUGAAUUUUCAUAUAUGUUUUUUCAAGUUUGACACGAAAUUUCCCUUAUUCCAUAAUGUUGUUUCUGGUGCUGCUUUUGCGGUCGUGGUCGAGAAUCCGAUUUGGGUGCUACUACUGGCUGGCCGGUGGAUAUUGACAGAGGCAUGGAUUCGGCGAAGGUGCAUCUGCAGAUGCAUGGAAGACGAAUGUGCUUGAUAACCGUGUUUUUUUUCCGAUACACAUAGCAUCUACCCACAUUGUUUCCUUUUCUAUUUUUUUAAAAAUCUAUACCGUUUCAACAUCACGUGGUUGUGGCAUGUCAGGACGUCACAGGCGAUUGCGGUAGCUGGUUUCGGCUUGCUUUUUUCACUCGAGUCUUAAGAUCACAAAUAUAUGAUAAGUUUGCAUCAUUUACAAUUUUCCUUUUCUUCUUCUUUGUAGUUGAUUUAUGUCAUUGUUUUAAUUGAUUCUUAGAUUUUAAAUAUGGGGUUUUUUACUCUCACGGCGAAAGCCUGAAGGCCGUGUAUCGGCGUCCGAUACGGCUGGUCGGAUAUGGCAAUACGCCUAGCUACGCCUAGUAAGUAUUUUGCCGGUAUCCAGCCAGCGAGUUUCUUGUUUUUUUUCAUAAUAAUCGCCCCUACAUGACUCGAAUGAUUCAACUCUCUCACUCAUUACUCGCCUAGCGUUGCAACGCCGGCGGCUGCCUCUGUCUCUAUGAUUUGGGCGCCACUGCAGACCGCCGCUCCCCGUGCUCUUCACCGCUUUGCAGGUCCCUCGGUCUUCCUCUCUAUUGGUUGCAGCCGCCCGUUUGUGAAAGUUGGUACGUUUGGAUUGAUUCAGGUGGCGUGUGCGGAAGUUGACAUGAAAACCAAUUCAUGAACGCUUAUGUUCGUCUUGAUUUGGAUCAUGUAGAACUCUUUCCCUUUUUGAAUGCAAACCUUAGAUAUUCAUGUUGGUACAUCUAAUGCAGGUUUUGUUUAUUUUGUCGACGGAAAUAACCA
Molecule: long non-coding RNA, 2083 nt
Filed under: Brachypodium distachyon (stiff brome)
Lineage: Eukaryota; Viridiplantae; Streptophyta; Magnoliopsida; Poales; Poaceae
Description: long non-coding RNA (BDIS_LNC002704)
Source: RNAcentral